GCGGGUGUGGCGAAAUUGGUAGACGCACCAGAUUUAGGUUCUGGCGGGAAACUGUGGGGGUUCGAGUCCCUCCACCCGCACCA
Molecule: transfer RNA, 83 nt
Filed under: Bartonella bacilliformis
Lineage: Bacteria; Pseudomonadati; Pseudomonadota; Alphaproteobacteria; Hyphomicrobiales; Bartonellaceae
Also listed under: 1 other name
Description: tRNA-Leu
Rfam family: tRNA
About the family: Transfer RNA (tRNA) molecules are approximately 80 nucleotides in length.
Source: RNAcentral